This 411-nucleotide ribosomal RNA is filed under the name Bombyx mori (domestic silkworm). RNAcentral describes it as "partial 16S ribosomal RNA". Lineage: Eukaryota; Metazoa; Arthropoda; Insecta; Lepidoptera; Bombycidae. The record is from RNAcentral.
CACUGUUUAACCAAAAACAUGUCUUUUUGUUAAUAAUUUAAAGUCUAAUCUGCCCACUGAUAUAUUUAUUAAAGGGCUGCAGUAUUUUGACUGUACAAAGGUAGCAUAAUCAUUAGUCUUUUAAUUGGUGACUUGUAUGAAAGAUUGGAUGAAAUAUAAACUGUCUCUUUUAUAAAAAAAAAUUGAAUUUAAUUUUUUAAUUAAAAAGUUAAAAUUAUUUAAAAAGACGAGAAGACCCUAUAGAGUUUUAUAAUUUAUUUUGUAAAUAUUUUUAUUUUUAUAUUUUUAUAAUUUUAAAUUAUUUUGUUGGGGUGAUAAAAAAAUUUAAUUACUUUUAAUAGUUUACAUUAAUAAGUGAUUAAAUGAUCCAAUUUUAUUGAUUAAAAGAAAAAAUUACCUUAGGAUAACAGC